UACGGAGGGUGCAAGCGUUAUCCGGAUUCACUGGGUUUAAAGGGUGCGUAGGCGGGUUGGUAAGUCCGUGGUGAAAUCUCCGAGCUUAACUCGGAAACUGCCGUGGAUACUAUCAAUCUUGAAUAUCGUGGAGGUAAGCGGAAUAUGUCAUGUAGCGGUGAAAUGCUUAGAUAUGACAUAGAACACCAAUUGCGAAGGCAGCUUACUACGGGAACAUUGACACUGAGGCACGAAAGCGUGGGGAUCAAACAGG
This 253-nucleotide ribosomal RNA is filed under the name uncultured bacterium. RNAcentral describes it as "partial 16S ribosomal RNA". It matches the Rfam family "Bacterial small subunit ribosomal RNA", at positions 524 to 776 of the family's 1533-position model. The record is from RNAcentral.